GGCGGCAGGCUUAACACAUGCAAGUCGAGCGCGUAGCAAUACGAGCGGCAGACGGGUGAGUAACGCGUGGGAAUCUACCCGGAACUACGGAAUAACAUGAAGAAAUUUAUGCUAAUACCGUAUACGCCCUUUUGGGGAAAGAUUUAUUGGUUUCGGAUGAGCCCGCGUUGGAUUAGCUUGUUGGUAGGGUAAUGGCCUACCAAGGCGACGAUCCAUAGCUGGUCUGAGAGGAUGAUCAGCCACACUGGGACUGAGACACGGCCCAGACUCCUACGGGAGGCAGCAGUGGGGAAUAUUGGACAAUGGGCGCAAGCCUGAUCCAGCCAUGCCGCGUGAGUGAUGAAGGCCUUAGGGUUGUAAAGCUCUUUCACCGGUGAAGAUAAUGACGGUAACCGGAGAAGAAGCCCCGGCUAACUUCGUGCCAGCAGCCGCGGUAAUACGAAGGGGGCUAGCGUUGUUCGGAUUUACUGGGCGUAAAGCGCACGCAGGCGGAUAUUUAAGUCAGAGGUGAAAUUCCGGGGCUCAACCCUGGAAUUGCCUUUGAUACUGGGUAUCUGGAAUACAGAAGAGGUAAGUGGAAUUCCGGGUGUAGAGGUGAAAUUCGUAGAUAUUCGGAGGAACACCAGUGGCGAANGCGGCUUACUGGUCUGUUACUGACNCUGANGUGCGAAAGCGUGGGGAGCAAACNGNAUUAGAUACCCNGG
This 704-nucleotide ribosomal RNA is filed under the name uncultured Wolbachia sp. RNAcentral's name for it is "bacterial SSU rRNA". It matches the Rfam family "Bacterial small subunit ribosomal RNA", at positions 38 to 790 of the family's 1533-position model. The record is from RNAcentral. Lineage: Bacteria; Pseudomonadati; Pseudomonadota; Alphaproteobacteria; Rickettsiales; Anaplasmataceae.